GUGGCGGAGUCCGCAAUCAAGGAUCGCGUUGUCGUCAUCGGGGCGAAGACUACGGCGCCGAUAAAUUAGAAGACGCCGCUCGCGUCAUGCCGGGCGCGGCGCUCUUGGCGAAUGCAAUCGCCGUCGCGCCGUCGAUUCUCGACACGCCGCCAAAUACAUCCUGCAUUGAGAAUGCUGCUGACGCUGAUCCUGGCUGCNGUCUAUGGCGCCAUCGCCAAGCACGCUGCGGCCGA
RNAcentral lists this ribosomal RNA (233 nucleotides) under uncultured bacterium. RNAcentral describes it as "partial 16S ribosomal RNA". The record is from RNAcentral.